UCACUUUAUAAAGCGCCAGAACUUAGCUAUAAGAAAUACUUUAUAAAAUUUCUAAGUUGACGAGGACAGAGUUUAUCGAAUUAUCGGCGGAUGCUCUGCGGUGAAUUUACCAUCGUAAAAGUUUCUUUAAAACAAGGGAGUAAUUCUUUGGACAAAGGGAAAACUUAAGUAAAUAU
Molecule: non-coding RNA, 176 nt
Filed under: Romboutsia hominis
Lineage: Bacteria; Bacillati; Bacillota; Clostridia; Peptostreptococcales; Peptostreptococcaceae
Description: glmS glucosamine-6-phosphate activated ribozyme aptamer
Rfam family: glmS glucosamine-6-phosphate activated ribozyme aptamer
About the family: This entry contains a glucosamine-6-phosphate activated ribozyme that is found in the mRNA for GlmS. GlmS is an enzyme that uses fructose-6-phosphate and glutamine to generate glucosamine-6-phosphate. The ribozyme catalyses self cleavage of the glmS mRNA that is thought to regulate GlmS activity.
Source: Rfam by way of RNAcentral